Long non-coding RNA from Polistes dominula (European paper wasp), 761 nucleotides. RefSeq lists it as uncharacterized. Lineage: Eukaryota; Metazoa; Arthropoda; Insecta; Hymenoptera; Vespidae. The record is from RefSeq and is a predicted model, not a curated record.
UUUUUUCAAGGUGCGUUUUCCGGUUUUAUUUUCCGUCACGCUGCGAACUUGACAGUGUCAAAGAUGUAGUACAAUUAUAUUUUAAAUGAUUAUAUGAAAUUAUGCUACGUUCAACUAAGAUCAAUUUAUUCUGAGAGAUGUAUAAGUACAAUAGUAUGAUUUUAUGGAUUCAUGCUUGUGUUACCUGACGUAAUUGACAAUGGACUCGGCUUUGACUGCAGUAAUAAAUCAUUUCUAUAGUCAAUACAUAUAUUAAACAAUGCUAGCAUCAUGGAAACGUCGAACAUUCACAAGGGAUACAUAUAUUUCUGGAGCACCGUGGAACACAGUGGAUCUGGAGAAUAUACCUGAUGAAUAAAAAGUACAAAAACCUAUAAGCAAACGCUUAUUGAGAUUUUAAGAUUUUAAACUCAAUAUUUAAAGUAAGAUAUAAUGGCUAUCAAUCUUAUACUAUUUAAAUAUAUAUAAACAUAUAUAUAUAUAUAUUAAUGACUAACAACACAUCAUCAUUUCAUACAGUUAUACAAUAUGUACCCAAAUGUACUCUUGAAAUGUUACAUGUAUUCCUGUGGUGCAAAAAAUAUCUUCUAACAUUUUGUAUCUUUUAAUCGACGUAUGAUGUGUACCCAGUAUUGUUUGCAAAAUUCAAUUUGCAUAACAUCCAACAUGCAAUAUAUUCAGUAGAUGUACACACAUAUUCAUAUAUUUACAAUUAUCAAUAUGAAAUCAUGUAUUAUUAUUCAUCUUUUUAAUUUUCACUU